UUAACUGAACUGAGACCUAGGCAAACACCCCAGUAUAGAUGCACUUGCUUGAGACAAUUCCAAGUAGAAAAGGCAGCACUCUAGCUUUGCACCUAAGUAGACAAGGACUAACGUUUUGCUGUCAUGGUUAGCAUACCAGAGGAGCCUGGGUUACAAAGACCAGAAGGAACUAAUGCAUCUGAAGGAAAGAUGGUCUGAUAUUAAUAGUGUUUAUACUAAUAGGUAAAGGCCAAAUUAGUGUUUGUUUUGGUUCAAGACAGACAUGAGAAGCACAUAAUGGACAGAAGCCCUACUAAGCCAUCCUCUGUGCUUCCAACAUGCUAAUUAAUUAUGUAAAAGUCGUGCUCUGUUUAAGCAAUGGCAUAGUGGGUUACAAAACAAACUGAAUGUGAGUUCUACUAAGGAGACAAUUAGCAUUCACCAAGAUCUAUGGUUUCAACUACCCUUGAACAUUUACUGUUUCAGCUGACGGUCAACCUUCAGUCUCGAACCCAACACCUCUGUGUGCUAACUGAAAAGUAUGUCAGUGUGCCUUAGAGCUCCCAAGAGCUUUGUAAAACAAUUCCCAGCAAGAUGAUCUUUCUCAGCUACAAAAAUAAAUUCUGAGGCGGCCGC
This 615-nucleotide long non-coding RNA is filed under the name Rattus norvegicus (Norway rat). Its description in RNAcentral is "long non-coding RNA NONRATT019571". Lineage: Eukaryota; Metazoa; Chordata; Mammalia; Rodentia; Muridae. The record is from RNAcentral.